CUUCUCCUCUAUCGUCUCUCUCAAACGUUCAGAGACGGAACCCCCGAAAACCCUAGCUGCCAUUGAUGCAAUCCAUCAAAAAGCCUGGUGGAAACUAUGCUGCCGGUCACCUCCUCAACACCACAAGACCCCCUUCUCACCCCAAACUUAAAUAUCAUACUCCCUUGGCUCGAAUCUAGCCAUACCUUGUCGAAUCUUCAUUUGAAGAUUCAAGCCCCAACUCGACAUAUACCAACCGAUCCCAAAAUGAUAUCAAACAUUCACUGACCUCUAUCAUACCUAAACUAACAAAGGUCUGGUUCGAAUCUAACUUGAAAACCCCGAGUCCCAAAUCACCUGUAUAAACCGUAGAAAUCCAAAAAUUAGGGGUAUGUUCAAAUCAGUAGGAGAUUGAAGUUCAAUAGACUUUAAUCCGGAUGUUCUCAACUGAGAACACCCCGAUUAGAUUCUAUUCGACCUCAAAUGGUCGAGUCUGAUUCAAGACUGGGUCGUUUGGUCAGGAGCCUUCAAAUAUAAGUCCGUCCCUUCCCUCUAUUUUUGUUUGUGUUUGUUUAUGUGUUCAUCUGCGUAUUUGUUUUAAUUCAUUUGAUUUUUCUAUUAUUUUUCCGUCAAAUUUCUCAUCUUCAAUAGACAUUUUUAUUUGGUUAUUUACUUCUGUCUGAUUGUCAUUUGUUGCUAUUAUAAGUCACAUAGCCAACAUGUUUAGAGUCAUAUUAGGUUUCAUUGUUAAAACCACUGAAGUUUUUUUAUAACCUGUUUGUAUGAUCCUGUUUGUUUGGUACCAUUUGUGUAUAGUAAUCUAUUAAAUAAGUGUCAUCAACUAAUUCGCUUGAGAAAUAGAAUAUGCAUGAUAGUAGUCUGUUGUUUGUUCAUUACAGUAUGCUAUCCAUUUGUGGCUUCUUUCUUGUUCUAAUUUUGUACCAAAUGAACCUGUUUGGUGAGUACCCUUUGAACCAGACCCCUCGUUUGAUCCCCCGUUCUGUAUAUUUAUUCACAUAAACCUUACACCUGCUUCAAUUCUCUUUGAAUCACUAACUGGUUUGGUAAUUUGAAUUGGUCAAAGCUAUUGUAGUUUGUUGGUUAACUAGGAAUCAGUCAGUAUUAGUAAGUUUUGUAUAAAUUCAUUGUGUCUCGUAAUUGUCUGACAUUGUCGUGAGUUCAAAAUAUGUCUCCUAUAAUUAUAUGUAAUUCGUGCUUAUGGCUAUCAUAAUUCGGUAUGCUUACAGUAUUCCAAUUGUUUUGUUUAGGUUUAAUUUAGAAAGUAUAAUUGGUUUCAAAUUUGAAUAAUAUGCAUCUGGGUUAGUCAGUUGUGGUCCCCGUAGUUUAUUGCAAUCUGUUCUAAAUUUGGUUAACAAGAAUUUAAUUUCAUAGUUUCAGUGAUCAAUUUGAUAGGUUUUAAGUGGAUUAUAGCUGAUAUUGUUCUUAAUUUAGAUACAGUUCUUAAUAAUUCAGUGUUUAAUUAAGAAUUGAUUUAGGAUAAUCUGUCAUUAAAUUUUGUGUUAGAUCAAUUAUUCAUAGUUUAUGGUCAACAGGGGUGAGGCAGAACAGUAAGGGAGUUAUAGGGUGAAACAUAGAGGAAUUCCAGGGGUUUUUUAGGAAUAAAAAGAAUAAGUAAAUUUGGUUUGACUGAAUAGUCUAUCCUGUAAGACCCCAACAACUUUAAUUUGAACUAAUUGGUAGAGGGGGACCACUAAGUAAUGAGAGUGUUUGCUUAAUUUAAAUUAGGAAUAGCAUAAGUAGUGAUAAAAGCUAAAAGAAUAUACAUAGGAGAGGGAAUAUAGAAGUUGGAAUGUAAAAAAGGUGAAGGGUAAUACUAAAAGGGAAAUAGUAAAGGAAUAUGAUAGCUGGAAAGAGGGUCUGUCUUUGGGUACAAAUAGAGGGAGACAUGGAUAGUUGAAAAAAAAACUAGAGUAAGAGUUGGGGAGUCUUAAAGAGUUUAAGAGAGCUUGAAUAUACAAAAAAUACAGAAGGAGUCCAAAAAGAGAAAAACAGAAGAGAAUAUUCUGGAAAAAUACUGUGAAUGAACAGAUAGUAAGAAAAUGAUCUAAAUUUAAACAAGGCUUUUAAUAUACCAAAAACCCAUUUACCCUAUAUUUGGAUUCUACCAAAAAAAUUUUUAGAACAUUAUUCGAAGUUUGAAAACAGUAGCUCUUCAUUGAUAAGUUGAAAUUUAUUGAACUCGGUUUUAAAUCUUGAUUUCGAUUCGGUCGAAUUUUGGUUCGAGUGAACUCUUUCUUCUGAGGUUGCUGUGUAUUGAUUCUCGGUUGAAAUUUGUUAUAUUACUGCUGUUUUAAUUACGCGAUUGUUGCUGUGUUAUCUACUGAGGACUGAUCUUUCUUCUUCUGUUCUUCUUUCCAGUCCAGGUAUUUCUCAACCCCAAGAGGUGUAUGAUAACUGGAACUGCAAAUUCAAGGAAUGGAUAAUGAAUUACUACUUAUUUCAUUACCUGAAGAUCUCAUUGUUUCACUUAGUUUAGAGUUUUCUUUUGCAUAAUUUAAAC
RNAcentral lists this long non-coding RNA (2500 nucleotides) under Nicotiana benthamiana. RNAcentral describes it as "long non-coding RNA (NBEN_LNC006798)". Lineage: Eukaryota; Viridiplantae; Streptophyta; Magnoliopsida; Solanales; Solanaceae. The record is from RNAcentral.